UCAGACGGCCGGAUGGCCGCCUUCCGGGAUUCCCCGGGGGGAGGAAAGUCCGGGCUCCACGGGAACACGGUGCCGGGUAACGCCCGGCGGGGGCGACCCUAGGGAAAGUGCCACAGAAAGCAAACCGCCCGCCGAAGCCUUGGCGAAGGCGGGUAAGGGUGAAAGGGUGCGGUAAGAGCGCACCGCGUCGCCGGCGACGGCGACGGCACGGCAAACCCCACCGGGAGCAAGACCGAGUAGGGGCGACACGCCGGAUUUCGGUCCGGCAAGGCGGGUUUCCGCGCCGCCGCCCGGGUAGGUCGCACGAGGCGUCCGGCAACGGGCGUCCCAGAUGAAUGGCCAUCCCCCGCCUCGGCGGGGACAGAACCCGGCUUACAGGCCGUCUGACGCC
This 391-nucleotide RNase P RNA is filed under the name Alphaproteobacteria bacterium. RNAcentral describes it as "RNase P RNA component class A". It matches the Rfam family "Bacterial RNase P class A". From Rfam's summary of the family: Ribonuclease P (RNase P) is a ubiquitous endoribonuclease, found in archaea, bacteria and eukarya as well as chloroplasts and mitochondria. Its best characterised activity is the generation of mature 5'-ends of tRNAs by cleaving the 5'-leader elements of precursor-tRNAs. Cellular RNase Ps are ribonucleoproteins. Lineage: Bacteria; Pseudomonadati; Pseudomonadota; Alphaproteobacteria. RNAcentral also lists the same sequence under 1 other name. The record is from RNAcentral.